This is a long non-coding RNA of Cherax quadricarinatus, 3845 nucleotides long. RefSeq lists it as uncharacterized. Lineage: Eukaryota; Metazoa; Arthropoda; Malacostraca; Decapoda; Parastacidae. The record is from RefSeq and is a predicted model, not a curated record.
CCCUUGAAUUCACUGUCACUGACACUUUCAUCGCUGUUAGAGCUAUCACUUGGGAACAAAAGACCUCCAAUCCGCCGAGGAGUGAGGAACUUCUUACCGAGAGGCAUGGUGAAAAUGGACUGACAACAUGGCGUUCCCACAAUGCACCGCUAGGUCCCAGAUUUUUUUCACAGGGUGCACACCGACCACUGAGACCCAUUCUCUCCCGUGUAGGCCUAUCAGGCCUUUGGCGCUCGAUUUGAAGCCGCUAGAAUUUGUGCGUAUAAAUACGUCAGAAACAUUGGCUCGUAAGACGUAUUUAUACGUCGGAAACAGUCAAAGGGUUAAUGUAAAUUACUUUUGUUAUCAUACUUUUAAGAAAUUAAAAUAUAUUUAGUGAAAAAAUAGUUUUUUUUUUUAUGUAGACAAAUAAAAGUCCUAAUAUUUAGGGCACUCCGUUUAAUCUUAAUAUCUUAGUAGUAUGGAAACAACUUUUUUUUAUUAUAUUAGGAAUAUUACAAAUAAGCCACCUUUUUAUUGCUUAAUAAUGUAUAAUAUAUGUGACUGACUAAGUCAUGGUUCACUGCCCAAAUUGUAUAAAUAUAAUUUUUAUACAUUAAAUAUAGUAAAAACUUAUUAUGUAAUUUUUCAGGUAAUUUCUUUUCUUUAUUAAACAUUUGAAAGCAUUCUUAAAUUUAUGAUAUGGAUGCUUAACUAUGUCUAUGGACUGAUUAUUAUCAGAGGCCAUUAAUUGUGGUUGAAAUGUAGAAAACUUUUUUUUUUCUAGCACUGUAUGAUGCAUUUGGUGCUGAAAAAUUCCUACAUUGAUGUGAAAUAUGCAAGUGUUUUUAAUAAUUUAACUAGUCACUGUAUAUAAAUGGCAUUUUUGCUUAUAAUAAGAAAAUUAAAUAUGCAUUUUUAUAUUGCUCAUUAGAUAUCAUUGGAGUAUAAUAAUUGUACAAAUACUUACAUGUACUGUAUAUUGUUGCUAUUAUUUCAAUUAUGUCAGUGAUAGUUAUUUUGAGAUGUACAGUAAACCCUCAAUGAAACUGACUAAUAGGGAGGAUUGUCAGUGUCUUGUUAAGGGCUGUGGUCCCUCUUGUGGGUUGGCAGAUACUAAAAAGUGGAUUUUGACCACAAUUUUAAACGUUCAUUAUAUUGAAGGUUUACUAUACAAGAAAUUUCUUAGGUUUUGUUAAUGCACGUAACUCUCAUUGGAUUUUUUUAUUUCAUACCUAUACCUUACGUAUUCUGCCCUAUCCUGGAUACAUUGUUUAAGCAUAUUCUGAGCAAACCUAGAUAGGGACAGAAGAAAAGGUUCGCUAAGCAAAAAUUAUAUUAUGUGAAUUGUACUCUUCUACUGAAGCCCAUGUUUUAACUCGAUAUGUGGACCACAGUAAUAAUCUUGCACAUAUAAUUCGUAUUAUUUUUUUUUGGGGGGGGGGGGAUGGGGGUGGAAUUCAUAACUACACACUGUACUCAUGAGGGAUACGCUUCCUUGUUCCCAUUCCUUGCCUCUUCCUUUCCCAUUCUAUCCUCUCCCAGAUGAGAAUUAUUAUUACAUUCAUAAGGGGAGAAGGUACUCAGAAAUUAGCAAAGUAGCAGGUCUAAAAGGUCUGCUUGCUGGUAAUACCAUUGUUAUAGUAGUACUCAAGAGUGGUUGAAGUUGAAAAACUAUAUCUUUGAAAAUAAAUAAAACCAAACCAGGUCAACCAGGCUGUGGCGGAUAUGUAGGCCAGAAAGCUGCCAACAGCGCAACAGCCUGGAUGACCAGACAAGCCUGGCCUAGGGCUAGACUCCAGGAGUAGAAAAACUCCAAACUCAUCAGGGGUAAACCAGAAUAAUAGUGCUUGUAAAAUAAGAUGGCAUUUCUGACUUGAUCUAACCAUUAUACAGCUAACUACCUCAAGCUUUGGAGCCGUCAUAUCUCAUCUAAUUUGAUGAUGAUAAUUUUAUCUCUGACAUAUCAAAGAGUAAUGUACCAAAAUUUGACUAUGCAUUGUUCCACUGAUGGUAAAUAUAUUUUAUGUAUAAACAGAUGAUAAUACAGUGGAACCUUGGUACUCGAACAAUUUGGUAUUCAAACGCUUUGUUUGGUAAAAAAAAAAAAAAUUGCUCAGUAGUUGACUGUUUGCUUGGCACUCAACCAAAGAAACACAACCUGCCAGAACUUCGCUGUAAACUAUUUCGUGUUUCUUCACUUUUUUUUUUUUUUUUUUUUGUAUAAAUAAGUCACCAAAGGGCCUAAGAAGAUUAGUGAUAACAGCCAACCAAAAAGAAAAUUGGUUGGGAAAAAUUUGUUCAGUACUCGAACACCCUUCUGGAACAAAUUAAGUUCGAGUACCGAGGUACUACUGAAAUUACAUAAAUCUGUAUAUGUAUAUUCAAAGUUAGCAGAGAGUUGCCUGUAUUAACAAAGUGCAUUAAAUAUGUUUUAAUAUAUUGUGUGAAAGCUGUAAGAAGAUAUAUAAUUAUUAAAAGCAAAUCUUUAAACUAGGAAAAGCUGUGUGCAUAGGCAACAUAUUCAUGGUUUCACAAAUAAUUAAUUUUAUACUCUUAAAACUGUUUAUUGUUUAUUAAGAUAUGAAUAAUCAGUCACAAUUGCCUUCAGAUUAUAUUCAUGUUCAUUUGACCUGAACCUCUUUGAUUACAUGAUAGAUUUACUGUACUUGUACUAUUUCCUAUCAUGUGAUCUGUGGAUCUAUACAUGUGUAUUGUCCAGAUAAACCUGUUAAAAAUAUCACAUCACAUUACUUCACAAAAAUAGAAAAUCAGUGGCACCAUAGCACUGUUCCCGAGGAUCUAACUCGUGUCACCACUGGCAUCCAAGUGCCUUUUCAGAGCACCUGUGCCUUGUCCCUAUGAAACUCGUACUGAGAGGGAUGUUAGAAUUACUUCAUCUAUAGCAACAUCUGUGAGCCACCAGCAGCAACAGCCUGGCUAACCAGGCAAACAUCAGAUGAGCUUGGCCCAUAGCCGAGCUUUGGGAGUAGAAAGACUCUCGGAACUCACCAAAGCUAAAGAUCCUCCAGUUUUGGUGCAGAGCUUGCUUGAGCAUAGCGCUGCAGCAUGUGUCGACGCAGUGAUGCCAGCAGCUUCUCCACUCGCUCCCACCGCUCAUCUAACUCCCACAAGAACAAGCUUAAGGCGCCUAAAUUCAGGCACAUCUUCAGCUCGUAGCUGAAGGACCCGUAGCCGUACGCUGGCAUCUAGAUCAGCUUCUGUGCAAAAGUCUCCCUCAUAGCUAUCAAUCUCAAACACAGGUGACCUGGUCCUCACCUGUAGAUGAUUCACCAGAGCAGCAUUGCUUGGGUCGUUCGGAUCAAUGCGAGCAUUCUCUAGCCACUUUUUAACAACUGCUGGGUUGGCUCUUGGAUGGAGAGGUGAGUGGGUGGAUACAGUUGAUGGCGGAGGCCCUGUAGGUGCUAAAAUUUCCCCCUCUUCUCCAAGUGCCCAACCAAGACGGUAAUGCACCACUCCACACGUAAGAUGGUGACCAUAUUCAGAUUCUGGAAGACCACAUCCAACUCCUUCAUGCUUGUAGCUCACUACCUGGUGAUGCAGCAGUGAGCUCUAUGAUACAGCCAAAAAAAACCACAAACUCUAGAUGAUAUUUGUUUUGCUGGGAACCGGAAGGAACGUUGAAGCCACAAGAGUCUGUCUCAGACUUGCUCCCUCCAUGACUUGCAGCACAAUACUACGAGGCCAUGAAGAAAGAGCCAUUCUGUCUGGGAGGCUGAGGCUUGGAUAUUUCUGGACUUGACAGUAUGGUCUCAUCCUGAGCAGCUUGAAGUAGAAAGCCUUCUAAAUUCUCACUGAGUGCAGACUUCUGUCGUUGUUGCUGACGUUUCUUAGCUUCUUUCUAA